Long non-coding RNA from Salvelinus namaycush (lake trout), 1162 nucleotides. RefSeq lists it as uncharacterized. The transcript is spliced from 3 exons. NCBI's taxonomy places the organism in Eukaryota, Metazoa, Chordata, Actinopteri, Salmoniformes, Salmonidae. The record is from RefSeq and is a predicted model, not a curated record.
UAUCUAAAGACAUCUUGGCUUUGCUGUCGGACCCACCACUGAUUACUGCAUUUGUGAUUGGUGCAGCCCUCUCAGCCACCAUCAGUUGAAUCUUCCUGUGUUUGACAGGGAAAUGUAAAAAACGCAAAGAGAGGACCCCAGACUCCAAAAGCCCUUUUAUAAACCUGGAGUUGGUGACUUGAAGACCAACAGACAGAUGCAGGACAGGCUGUGGGGGGCAAACAGACACCUCUGCAGGUGGAGCUGAGGGAGGGAGCUGAAAAUGGAGGGCCCCAGACCAGUGGUGCUGCAGGACACUGUCACAGGGGAAGAACUAAAAGAGGUGGACUACGCCAGUAUCAACUACUCCCUACUGACGAAGACUCCUGAGGAGGCAGAGAAGAAGACCACCAACACAGAGUCAGACUAUGCUGAAAUCAAACGAGAGAAGAAGAAUGAGGGGGAGGGCAGUGGCGUGAUGGAUCCGGAAGAAGAGCAGGAAGGGGAAGAGAUGAUGGGGAAGUAGCAAGGGGACGGUAAGCCAGUACAAGAGACAGAUGAGGAUGCAGUGCUUUACUCCAACGUCAAGGCUAUUAUGGGUAGAGAGUGACACAGCAAUUUGGCUAGAAAAAGUUGUGGAUAGCACACAGUACUAUGGCUUUUAUUAUACACCCAUGUGGUGUUCUCAUUUUUUGAAUCCAGAUUGAAUAUUUUAUGAGGCUGGAACUUUUGUUCAAAUGUAACUGCUGUAGUUUAUAGUGUUGGUGUUGUUUGCUCAUGAGCUGAUUGCAGUUUGAAUGUUUUAUGAUGAUACAGAGACUUUGUUAAACUGAAACUACUGUAGGUAAUAGUUUUGGUAAUGCUUUAUUUUCCAGCCCUUUGUCACCCGAUACCUAGUGGUUGUAAUGUUUAAUACGAUUUGUUGCUAGUUGCACAUAGAAACAAGUAUUUUUUUGUUUGUCUCGUAAAUGUUUAUGGAAGUUAAUGUAAUAUUACUUUUGAAGUUAUUCUGUUUUUGUGUCAUCAUGGGGAAGGACUGACAAAGACGUGGUUUGGAGAAGAGCAGUCAAACCAUUUCUCGUUUUUCUCCUCUGUCCUUUCUUGUUUUUGCAUUUUGAUUUAAACCUAAACCUAUAUAUUGAGUCACUACCUUACUUUUGAUGGUUGUGUGUAUUUUAGUUGU